Molecule: ribosomal RNA, 513 nt
Filed under: Triticum aestivum (bread wheat)
Lineage: Eukaryota; Viridiplantae; Streptophyta; Magnoliopsida; Poales; Poaceae
Description: partial small subunit ribosomal RNA
Source: RNAcentral
AUGCCUGAGGGCUUCGCUGAGAUGAUGGCACGCGGGGACCACGGCUUCAUCAUCCGAGGCUGGGCGCCGCAGACGCUCAUCCUCAACCACCCCGCCCUCGGCGGGUUCAUGACGCACUGCGGCUGGAACUCGGCGCUGGAAGCCGUGAGCGCCGACGUGCCGAUGGUCACGUGGCCGCGGUACGCGGACCAGUUCUACAACGAGAAGCUCAUCGUGGAGGUGCUCAAGGUGGGCGUCAGCAUCGGCGCCAAGGACUUCGCCUCGCCUCUGGAGGCCCAUGAGGUGAUCGGCGGCGAGGUGAUCGCUGGAUCCUUCGGGAGGCUGAUGGGGAGCGGCGAGGAGGGCGACGCCGUACGGAAGAAGGCCAAAGACCUCAGUGUGAAAGCAAGGAGCGCCAUGGCGAAGGGCGGAUCUUCAUACGAUGACGUCGGAAGGCUGAUGGAUGAGUUGAUGACUCGCCGAAGUUCCAGAGAAGACACUGGAGCGGCGAGUUUUGGCACGCGUGCCGACUAG